CCAAGUCAUCACUGUCGGAGGUAAUGUGGUGUGAGAAGAGCCAGAUUGGCCAGCCUGAGGGGCUCUAAGAUAAACUUUGGUAAUCUCUGAAGACUCUGACAGCAUUAAACGGCAUGUUGAAAGGACUUAUAAUCUGGAACUCAAGUUAAAAUAUAGCCCUGAAGAGGCUGUCAACCUCAGAUAUCCUGGAAACGCUACAGUGAGGUUAACGUCACUGAGGGAAAUAAUUGAUAUCUUGCAGCUCGGGAGCGAGCGUGUGAGGACGCAGGCAGCGCAUACCAGCCGUCUGGACCUCCAGCCCAUUCAGGGCUGUAUUUGUUACUGUGAGCAAGCAACUGCCUCUCAUGUGUCCGCACUUCUACACGCACGCACUGACUUCAGGCCACAUCUUGUUGACUUCUUCCUAAAUAAGCCUUCUGCUUUGCUUGCCACCGUGAGGCGAGUUUCCUAA
RNAcentral lists this long non-coding RNA (451 nucleotides) under Apteryx rowi (Okarito brown kiwi). Its description in RNAcentral is "lncRNA (ENSARWG00000009293.1)". The record is from RNAcentral. Lineage: Eukaryota; Metazoa; Chordata; Aves; Apterygiformes; Apterygidae.